UAAAGCAAUGAAAAGCUUCUACCUGUCACACCACAGCAUUACAUCUCCUCCUCUCCACCUUCAUGUGCAGCUUUCUUCUAUGAUUUGAAACAAAGAAAAUAAACUGUACGUGUUCCAAGCA
This 121-nucleotide long non-coding RNA is filed under the name Monodelphis domestica (gray short-tailed opossum). RNAcentral's name for it is "lncRNA (ENSMODG00000045364.1)". The record is from RNAcentral. Lineage: Eukaryota; Metazoa; Chordata; Mammalia; Didelphimorphia; Didelphidae.